Molecule: long non-coding RNA, 532 nt
Organism: Syzygium oleosum
Lineage: Eukaryota; Viridiplantae; Streptophyta; Magnoliopsida; Myrtales; Myrtaceae
Exons: 2
Source: RefSeq, a predicted model, not a curated record
CUCGUAAGUUUCAGUUCGGGAACGCCGCCUACGACUUCGUUCACUUCAUGCCGUGAACAAAGUACACUGACGUGAAAACGACGUUAUUUUAGCUGAAAAAUUAUCUGAUGGAACAUGGUGCGGGACAUUACAGACGCAAUGUUAAAGUUUGCUACUUUAGCUUGGUAGAAUGCUGACUGCAGCCCAGCAUGUAUGAUGAUUCCAAAAGGGCACAGGGUAUCUGCUGUAUCAAUGAUGGUGCUACUUGUGAGAAUGGUUUUGGUUUAUCUCUGGCACUGUUGGCUGAUAAGCCGAAUUCAUCCGAUAUUAGAUAUUGUAGAGAUUGCUGUGUUGAAUUCCACAAAGAUGUGACUACAUAUGAGAUGACUUUUGGUGAUUUGUGGUUGAAUGCAACUCUUGGCCGUUCCUCGUGUUGGUGCCUCUAACCAGUGAGGUGAUCCCGAACUAACAUUUUGUUGAAAGUACUUCCCUAUCGCCCCGUCUGAAGAAACAUUUCUGACUCGUAUAUACAAGUCAUUGGACUUUGUUGUGA